GACGAACGCUGGCGGCGUGCCUAAUACAUGCCAGUUGAGCGAUGAAGCUUGGUGCUUGCCCCAAUUUGAAGAGCAGCGAACGGGUGAGUAACGCGUGGGGAAUCUGCCUUUGAGCGGGGGACAACAUUUGGAAACGAAUGCUAAUACCGCAUAACAACUUUAAACAUAAGUUUUAAGUUUGAAAGAUGCAAUUGCAUCACUCAAAGAUGAUCCCGCGUUGUAUUAGCUAGUUGGUGAGGUAAAGGCUCACCAAGGCGAUGAUACAUAGCCGACCUGAGAGGGUGAUCGGCCACAUUGGGACUGAGACACGGCCCAAACUCCUACGGGAGGCAGCAGUAGGGAAUCUUCGGCAAUGGACGAAAGUCUGACCGAGCAACGCCGCGUGAGUGAAGAAGGGUUUCGGAUCGUAAAACUCUGUUGGUAGAGAAGAACGUUGGUGAGAGUGGAAAGCUCAUCAAGUGACGGUAACUACACAGAAAGGGACGGCUAACUACGUG
RNAcentral lists this ribosomal RNA (497 nucleotides) under uncultured bacterium. Its description in RNAcentral is "partial 16S ribosomal RNA". It matches the Rfam family "Bacterial small subunit ribosomal RNA", at positions 28 to 507 of the family's 1533-position model. The record is from RNAcentral.